RNAcentral lists this ribosomal RNA (431 nucleotides) under uncultured archaeon. RNAcentral describes it as "bacterial SSU rRNA". It matches the Rfam family "Archaeal small subunit ribosomal RNA", at positions 474 to 903 of the family's 1478-position model. The record is from RNAcentral.
UACCAGCUCUCCGAGUGGUAGGGAUGAUUAUUGGGCUUAAAGCGUCCGUAGCCGGCUUAGCAAGUCUCCUGUUAAAUUCAGCGACCUAAUCGUUGAGCCGCGGGAGAUACUACUAGGCUAGGAGGCGGGAGAGGUCAACGGUACUUCCGGGGGUAGGGGUGAAAUCCUAUAAUCCCGGGAGGACCACCAGUGGCGAAGGCUGUUGACUAGAACGCGCUCGACGGUGGGGGACGAAAGCUGGGGGGAGCGAACCGGAUUAGAUACCCGGGUAGUCCCAGCUGUAAACGAUGCGAGCUAGGUGUUGGGGUGGCUACGUGCCACUUCAGUGCCGCAGGGAGCCAUUAAGCUCGCCGCCUGGGGAGUACGGCCGCAAGGCUGAAACUUAAAGGAAUUGGGCGGGGGAGCACCACAAGGCGUGAAGCUUGCGGUUC